Molecule: ribosomal RNA, 253 nt
Filed under: uncultured bacterium
Lineage: Bacteria
Description: partial 16S ribosomal RNA
Rfam family: Bacterial small subunit ribosomal RNA
Source: RNAcentral
UACGUAGGUGGCAAGCGUUGUCCGGAUUUAUUGGGUUUAAAGGGUGCGUAGGCGGCCCUGUAAGUCAGUUGUGAAAUACGGCAGCUUAACUGUCGAGGUGCAAUUGAUACUGCAGGGCUUGAGUACUGAUGAGGUAGGCGGAAUGGACGGUGUAGCGGUGAAGUGCUUAGAGAUCGUCCAGAACACCGAUAGCGAAGGCAGCUUACUAAGGAGUAACUGACGCUGAGGCACGAAAGUGUGGGGAUCAAACAGG